RNAcentral lists this ribosomal RNA (133 nucleotides) under uncultured bacterium. Its description in RNAcentral is "partial 16S ribosomal RNA". The record is from RNAcentral.
CACGGAGUUANCCGGGGCUUCUUUUCCAGGUACUGUCAUUAUCAUCCCUGGUGAAAGAGCUUUACGACCCUAAGGCCUUCAUCACUCACGCGGCAUCGCUAGAUCAGGCUUGCGCCCAUUGUCUAAGAUUCCC